GUGAGGAAUAUUGGUCAAUGGGCGGGAGCCUGAACCAGCCAAGUCGCGUGAAGGAAGAAGGAUCUAUGGUUCGUAAACUUCUUUUGCAGGGGAAUAAAGUGCAGGACGUGUCCUGUUUUGUAUGUACCCUGAGAAUAAGGAUCGGCUAACUCCGUGCCAGCAGCCGCGGUAAUACGGAGGAUCCGAGCGUUAUCCGGAUUUAUUGGGUUUAAAGGGUGCGUAGGUGGUUUGAUAAGUCAUCGGUGAAAGUUUGCAGCUUAACUGUAAAAAUGCCGUUGAAACUGUCGGACUUGAGUGUAAAUGAGGUAGGCGGAAUGCGUGAUGUAGCGGUGAAAUGCAUAGAUAUCACGCAGAACUCCGAUUGCGAAGGCAGCUUACUAAGCUACAACUGACACUGAAGCACGAAAGCGUGGGGAUCAAACAGGAUUAGAAACCCCAGUAGUCC
This 445-nucleotide ribosomal RNA is filed under the name uncultured bacterium. RNAcentral describes it as "partial 16S ribosomal RNA". It matches the Rfam family "Bacterial small subunit ribosomal RNA", at positions 354 to 796 of the family's 1533-position model. The record is from RNAcentral.